Molecule: unclassified non-coding RNA, 347 nt
Filed under: soil metagenome
Description: partial contains 5.8S ribosomal RNA, internal transcribed spacer 2, and large subunit ribosomal RNA
Rfam family: 5.8S ribosomal RNA (bases 5-119)
Source: RNAcentral
GAUGAGAACGCAGCGAAAUGCGAUAAGUAAUGUGAAUUGCAGAAUUCAGUGAAUCAUCGAAUCUUUGAACGCACAUUGCGCCCGCCAGUAUUCUGGCGGGCAUGCCUGUCUGAGCGUCAUUUCAACCCUCAUGCCCCUAGGGCGUGGUGUUGGGGAUCGGCCAAAGCCCGCGAGGGACGGCCGGCCCCUAAAUCUAGUGGCGGACCCGUCGUGGCCUCCUCUGCGAAGUAGUGAUAUUCCGCAUCGGAGAGCGAUGAGCCCCUGCCGUUAAACCCCCAACUUUCCAAGGUUGACCUCAGAUCAGGUAGGAAUACCCGCUGAACUUAAGCAUAUGAAUAAGCGGAGGA